This 551-nucleotide ribosomal RNA is filed under the name uncultured bacterium. RNAcentral describes it as "bacterial SSU rRNA". It matches the Rfam family "Bacterial small subunit ribosomal RNA", at positions 355 to 896 of the family's 1533-position model. The record is from RNAcentral.
UGGGGAAUCUUCCGCAAUGGACGAAAGUCUGACGGAGCAACGCCGCGUGAGUGAUGACGGCCUUCGGGUUGUAAAGCUCUGUUAAUCGGGACGAAAGGCCUUCUUGCGAAUAGUGAGAAGGAUUGACGGUACCGGAAUAGAAAGCCACGGCUAACUACGUGCCAGCAGCCGCGGUAAUACGUAGGUGGCAAGCGUUGUCCGGAAUUAUUGGGCGUAAAGCGCGCGCCAGGCGGAUAGGUCAGUCUGUCUUAAAAGUUCGGGGCUUAACCCCGUGAUGGGAUGGAAACUGCCAAUCUAGAGUAUCGGAGAGGAAAGUGGAAUUCCUAGUGUAGCGGUGAAAUGCGUAGAUAUUAGGAAGAACACCAGUGGCGAAGGCGACUUUCUGGACGAAAACUGACGCUGAGGCGCGAAAGCCAGGGGAGCGAACGGGAUUAGAUACCCCGGUAGUCCUGGCCGUAAACGAUGGGUACUAGGUGUAGGAGGUAUCGACCCCUUCUGUGCCGGAGUUAACGCAAUAAGUACCCCGCCUGGGGAGUACGACCAAGAGGUUG